CCUACGGGGGUCAGCAGUGGGGAAUAUUGGACAAUGGGCGAAAGCCUGAUCCAGCCAUGCCGCGUGUGUGAAGAAGGCCUUCGGGUUGUAAAGCACUUUCAGUGGGGAAGAAAGCCUUGGGGCUAAUACCCUCGAGGAAGGACAUCACCCACAGAAGAAGCACCGGCUAACUCCGUGCCAGCAGCCGCGGUAAUACGGAGGGUGCGAGCGUUAAUCGGAAUUACUGGGCGUAAAGCGCGCGUAGGCGGUCUGAUAAGCCGGUUGUGAAAGCCCCGGGCUCAACCUGGGAACGGCAUCCGGAACUGUCAGGCUAGAGUGCAGGAGAGGAAGGUAGAAUUCCCGGUGUAGCGGUGAAAUGCGUAGAGAUCGGGAGGAAUACCAGUGGCGAAGGCGGCCUUCUGGACUGACACUGACGCUGAGGUGCGAAAGCGUGGGUAGCAAACAGGAUUAGAUACCCUUGUAGUC
This 465-nucleotide ribosomal RNA is filed under the name Vreelandella stevensii. RNAcentral describes it as "partial 16S ribosomal RNA". It matches the Rfam family "Bacterial small subunit ribosomal RNA", at positions 338 to 795 of the family's 1533-position model. The record is from RNAcentral. Lineage: Bacteria; Pseudomonadati; Pseudomonadota; Gammaproteobacteria; Oceanospirillales; Halomonadaceae.